GGCUCAGAACGAACGCUGGCGGCGUGCUUAACACAUGCAAGUCGAACGAACCUUCGGGUUAGUGGCGGACGGGUGAGUAACGCGUGAGAAUCUGCCCUCAGGAGGGGGAUAACGGUUGGAAACGACCGCUAAUACCCCAUAUGCCGAGAGGUGAAAAGAAAUUCGCCUGAGGAUGAGCUCGCGUCUGAUUAGCUAGUUGGUGUGGUAAUGGCGCAGCAAGGCUUCGAUCAGUAGCUGGUCUGAGAGGAUGAUCAGCCACAUUUUUUCUGAGACACGGACCAGACUCCUACGG
This 292-nucleotide ribosomal RNA is filed under the name uncultured bacterium. RNAcentral's name for it is "partial 16S ribosomal RNA". It matches the Rfam family "Bacterial small subunit ribosomal RNA", at positions 21 to 344 of the family's 1533-position model. The record is from RNAcentral.